GGGUUGUGAGGUUAAGCGACUAAGCGUACACGGUGGAUGCCCUGGCAGUCAGAGGCGAUGAAGGACGUGCUAAUCUGCGAUAAGCGUCGGUGAGGUGAUAUGAACCGUUAUAACCGGCGAUUUCCGAAUGGGGAAACCCAGUGUGUUUCGACACACUAUCAUUAACUGAAUCCAUAGGUUAAUGAGGCGAACCGGGGGAACUGAAACAUCUAAGUACCCCGAGGAAAAGAAAUCAACCGAGAUUCCCCCAGUAGCGGCGAGCGAACGGGGAGGAGCCCAGAGCCUGAAUCAGUGUGUGUGUUAGUGGAAGCGUCUGGAAAGGCGUGCGAUACAGGGUGACAGCCCCGUACACAAAAAUGCACAUAUUGUGAGCUCGAUGAGUAGGGCGGGACACGUGGUAUCCUGUCUGAAUAUGGGGGGACCAUCCUCCAAGGCUAAAUACUCCUGACUGACCGAUAGUGAACCAGUACCGUGAGGGAAAGGCGAAAAGAACCCCGGCGAGGGGAGUGAAAAAGAACCUGAAACCGUGUACGUACAAGCAGUGGGAGCCUCUUAAUGGGGUGACUGCGUACCUUUUGUAUAAUGGGUCAGCGACUUAUAUUCUGUAGCAAGGUUAACCGAAUAGGGGAGCCGAAGGGAAACCGAGUCUUAACUGGGCGUUAAGUUGCAGGGUAUAGACCCGAAACCCGGUGAUCUAGCCAUGGGCAGGUUGAAGGUUGGGUAACACUAACUGGAGGACCGAACCGACUAAUGUUGAAAAAUUAGCGGAUGACUUGUGGCUGGGGGUGAAAGGCCAAUCAAACCGGGAGAUAGCUGGUUCUCCCCGAAAGCUAUUUAGGUAGCGCCUCGUGAAUUCAUCUCCGGGGGUAGAGCACUGUUUCGGCAAGGGGGUCAUCCCGACUUACCAACCCGAUGCAAACUGCGAAUACCGGAGAAUGUUAUCACGGGAGACACACGGCGGGUGCUAACGUCCGUCGUGAAGAGGGAAACAACCCAGACCGCCAGCUAAGGUCCCAAAGUCAUGGUUAAGUGGGAAACGAUGUGGGAAGGCCCAGACAGCCAGGAUGUUGGCUUAGAAGCAGCCAUCAUUUAAAGAAAGCGUAAUAGCUCACUGGUCGAGUCGGCCUGCGCGGAAGAUGUAACGGGGCUAAACCAUGCACCGAAGCUGCGGCAGCGACGCUUAUGCGUUGUUGGGUAGGGGAGCGUUCUGUAAGCCUGUGAAGGUGUACUGUGAGGUAUGCUGGAGGUAUCAGAAGUGCGAAUGCUGACAUAAGUAACGAUAAAGCGGGUGAAAAGCCCGCUCGCCGGAAGACCAAGGGUUCCUGUCCAACGUUAAUCGGGGCAGGGUGAGUCGACCCCUAAGGCGAGGCCGAAAGGCGUAGUCGAUGGGAAACAGGUUAAUAUUCCUGUACUUGGUGUUACUGCGAAGGGGGGACGGAGAAGGCUAUGUUGGCCGGGCGACGGUUGUCCCGGUUUAAGCGUGUAGGCUGGUUUUCCAGGCAAAUCCGGAAAAUCAAGGCUGAGGCGUGAUGACGAGGCACUACGGUGCUGAAGCAACAAAUGCCCUGCUUCCAGGAAAAGCCUCUAAGCAUCAGGUAACAUCAAAUCGUACCCCAAACCGACACAGGUGGUCAGGUAGAGAAUACCAAGGCGCUUGAGAGAACUCGGGUGAAGGAACUAGGCAAAAUGGUGCCGUAACUUCGGGAGAAGGCACGCUGAUAUGUAGGUGAAGCGACUUGCUCGUGGAGCUGAAAUCAGUCGAAGAUACCAGCUGGCUGCAACUGUUUAUUAAAAACACAGCACUGUGCAAACACGAAAGUGGACGUAUACGGUGUGACGCCUGCCCGGUGCCGGAAGGUUAAUUGAUGGGGUUAGCGGUAACGCGAAGCUCUUGAUCGAAGCCCCGGUAAACGGCGGCCGUAACUAUAACGGUCCUAAGGUAGCGAAAUUCCUUGUCGGGUAAGUUCCGACCUGCACGAAUGGCGUAAUGAUGGCCAGGCUGUCUCCACCCGAGACUCAGUGAAAUUGAACUCGCUGUGAAGAUGCAGUGUACCCGCGGCAAGACGGAAAGACCCCGUGAACCUUUACUAUAGCUUGACACUGAACAUUGAGCCUUGAUGUGUAGGAUAGGUGGGAGGCUUUGAAGUGUGGACGCCAGUCUGCAUGGAGCCGGCCUUGAAAUACCACCCUUUAAUGUUUGAUGUUCUAACGUUGGCCCCUGAUCGGGGUUGCGGACAGUGUCUGGUGGGUAGUUUGACUGGGGCGGUCUCCUCCUAAAGAGUAACGGAGGAGCACGAAGGUUGGCUAAUCCUGGUCGGACAUCAGGAGGUUAGUGCAAUGGCAUAAGCCAGCUUGACUGCGAGCGUGACGGCGCGAGCAGGUGCGAAAGCAGGUCAUAGUGAUCCGGUGGUUCUGAAUGGAAGGGCCAUCGCUCAACGGAUAAAAGGUACUCCGGGGAUAACAGGCUGAUACCGCCCAAGAGUUCAUAUCGACGGCGGUGUUUGGCACCUCGAUGUCGGCUCAUCACAUCCUGGGGCUGAAGUAGGUCCCAAGGGUAUGGCUGUUCGCCAUUUAAAGUGGUACGCGAGCUGGGUUUAGAACGUCGUGAGACAGUUCGGUCCCUAUCUGCCGUGGGCGCUGGAGAACUGAGGGGGGCUGCUCCUAGUACGAGAGGACCGGAGUGGACGCAUCACUGGUGUUCGGGUUGUCAUGCCAAUGGCACUGCCCGGUAGCUAAAUGCGGAAGAGAUAAGUGCUGAAAGCAUCUAAGCACGAAACUUGCCCCGAGAUGAGUUCUCCCUGAGACUUUAAGUCUCCUGAAGGAACGUUGAAGACGACGACGUUGAUAGGCCGGGUGUGUAAGCGCAGCGAUGCGUUGAGCUAACCGGUACUAAUGAACCGUGAGGCUUAACCUUACAACGCCGAAG
This 2926-nucleotide ribosomal RNA is filed under the name Escherichia coli. RNAcentral describes it as "23S ribosomal RNA". It matches the Rfam family "Bacterial large subunit ribosomal RNA". Lineage: Bacteria; Pseudomonadati; Pseudomonadota; Gammaproteobacteria; Enterobacterales; Enterobacteriaceae. The record is from RNAcentral.